Molecule: ribosomal RNA, 903 nt
Filed under: Weissella viridescens
Lineage: Bacteria; Bacillati; Bacillota; Bacilli; Lactobacillales; Lactobacillaceae
Description: bacterial SSU rRNA
Rfam family: Bacterial small subunit ribosomal RNA
Source: RNAcentral
CCUAGGUUUGGGGCGUGCUAUACAUGCAAGUCGAACGCUUUGUGGUCCAACUGAUUUGAAGAGCUUGCUCAGAUAUGACGAUGGACAUUGCAAAGAGUGGCGAACGGGUGAGUAACACGUGGGAAACCUACCUCUUAGCAGGGGAUAACACUUGGAAACAAGUGCUAAUACCGUAUAACACUAAUAACCGCAUGGUUAUUAGUUAAAAGAUGGUCUUGCUAUCACUAAGAGAUGGUCCCGCGGUGUAUUAGCUAGUUGGUAAGGUAAUGGCUUACCAAGGCAAUGAUACAUAGCCGAGUUGAGAGACUGAUCGGCCACAAUGGGACUGAGACACGGCCCAUACUCCUACGGGAGGCAGCAGUAGGGAAUCUUCCACAAUGGACGAAAGUCUGAUGGAGCAACGCCGCGUGUGUGAUGAAGGGUUUCGGCUCGUAAAACACUGUUGUAAGAGAAGAAUGACAUUGAGAGUAACUGUUCAGUGUGUGACGGUAUCUUACCAGAAAGGAACGGCUAAAUACGUGCCAGCAGCCGCGGUAAUACGUAUGUUCCAAGCGUUAUCCGGAUUUAUUGGGCGUAAAGCGAGCGCAGACGGUUAUUUAAGUCCGAAGUGAAAGCCCACAGCUUAACUGUGGAAGUGCUUUGGAAACUGGAUAACUUGAGUGCAGUAGAGGAGAGUGGAACUCCAUGUGUAGCGGUGAAAUGCGUAGAUAUAUGGAAGAACACCAGUGGCGAAGGCGGCUCUCUGGACUGUAACUGACGUUGAGGCUCGAAAGUGUGGGUAGCAAACAGGAUUAGAUACCCUGGUAGUCCACACCGUAAACGAUGAGUGCUAGAUGUUUGAGGGUUUCCGCCCUUAAGUGUCGCAGCUAACGCAUUAAGCACUCCGCCUGGGGAGUACGACCG